This 253-nucleotide ribosomal RNA is filed under the name uncultured bacterium. RNAcentral describes it as "partial 16S ribosomal RNA". It matches the Rfam family "Bacterial small subunit ribosomal RNA", at positions 524 to 776 of the family's 1533-position model. The record is from RNAcentral.
UACAGAGGGUGCGAGCGUUAAUCGGAAUUACUGGGCGUAAAGCGUGCGUAGACGGUUCCGUAAGUCAGAUGUGAAAGCCCCGGGCUCAACCUGGGAAUUGCAUUUGAGACUGCGUAGCUAGGGUGCGGAAGAGGGAAGCGGAAUUUCCGGUGUAGCGGUGAAAUGCGUAGAUAUCGGAAGGAACACCAGUGGCGAAAGCGGCUUCCUGGUCCAGCACCGACGUUCAGGCACGAAAGCGUGGGGAGCAAACAGG